This 250-nucleotide unclassified non-coding RNA is filed under the name Hevea brasiliensis (rubber tree). The record is from RNAcentral. Lineage: Eukaryota; Viridiplantae; Streptophyta; Magnoliopsida; Malpighiales; Euphorbiaceae.
GUCUAAACAAAGGGCAAGAGAGAAGGAAAAUAAAUACCACACUUUCAUUCCCAAACAGAGACUUAUUUUCUUCAUUGUUUACAAAAAUUGAACAAAUUUGAAAUUUCUGCAAUGUUCACCUGACAUCAAGAAUCAUUUCCAGGCCCACUCAUCAAAACGUCAGAAUCAGAUUCAUGUAAACAAAUCAAUCCAUAAAAUUAUUGGAAUUUAGUCAACAAAAUCGAAUGGCGUCGGCAAAGCCACCAACACU